UUACAUUAACAAAAAGAACGAAUCAAUCAGAAAAAUAAUCCCUAAAUGACAAUACCUAUUAUUGAUAUCAUAUUAAACGUACUACAUAUUAUAGAUUUGCGAUUUUAUUUAUUUAAUACUAACAUUUAAAUAAGAUUCCCAAAUGUCAAAUAAAGCAUUCACAGAUGAUUUUUAAUUACUAUUCGCCUUCUCAAACACAUUACGUAAUGUCUAAUUAAAUGUAUUUUCUUUUUACAGAUUGAUGAUAUUACCAUUGAAUCUUCUUCAAGUUUGGAAAUUUUAAGAAGAGUUGCAGCGUUGGAGGCUGAAAAUAAGGAAAUUCGAAAUAUUGUUUCAAAUUUUGCUCAACUGUAUAAUGAUAUGCUGAAACGUAUUUCAAUUAUCGAAAAUAACAGAAUUUUAAAUUAAAAUAUAUUAGUGGCUUGAUACGAAUAAUCAUGAAAAAGUAAUAAUAAGCGAAAACCAAAUAUUUACAAAAUUGUAUGAAUUAUUGUCAACUCCAUUAUAUACUUGAUUUGUAUUUAUGAGACAAGAGCAAGAAUAUGACGCUAAUAACUGAUAUGUAUAACCUGAUGAGAUAAUAAAAAAAAAAAUUGACGAUAUUACCAUUGAAUCUUCUUCAAGUUUGGAAAUUUUAAGAAGAGUUGCAGCGUUGGAGGC
This is a long non-coding RNA of Drosophila mojavensis, 660 nucleotides long. RefSeq lists it as uncharacterized. NCBI's taxonomy places the organism in Eukaryota, Metazoa, Arthropoda, Insecta, Diptera, Drosophilidae. The transcript is spliced from 2 exons. The record is from RefSeq and is a predicted model, not a curated record.